RNAcentral lists this ribosomal RNA (274 nucleotides) under uncultured bacterium. RNAcentral describes it as "partial 16S ribosomal RNA". It matches the Rfam family "Bacterial small subunit ribosomal RNA", at positions 523 to 796 of the family's 1533-position model. The record is from RNAcentral.
AUACGGAGGGUCCAAGCGUUAUCCGGAAUCAUUGGGUUUAAAGGGUCCGCAGGCGGUCAAUUAAGUCAGAGGUGAAAGCCCAUCGCUCAACGACGGAACUGCCUUUGAUACUGGUUGACUUGAGUUAUACGGAAGUAGAUAGAAUAAGUAGUGUAGCGGUGAAAUGCAUAGAUAUUACUUAGAAUACCGAUUGCGAAGGCAGUCUACUACGUAUAUACUGACGCUGAGGGACGAAAGCGUGGGGAGCGAACAGGAUUAGAAACCCCAGUAGUCC